Molecule: transfer RNA, 83 nt
Organism: Volvox carteri f. nagariensis
Lineage: Eukaryota; Viridiplantae; Chlorophyta; Chlorophyceae; Chlamydomonadales; Volvocaceae
Rfam family: tRNA
About the family: Transfer RNA (tRNA) molecules are approximately 80 nucleotides in length. Their secondary structure includes four short double-helical elements and three loops (D, anti-codon, and T loops).
Source: Rfam
GUCGUCAUCGUAUAGUGGUCAGUAUCCCCGCCUGUCAUACUAACGGUACGCGGGAGGCCGGGGUUCGAUUCCCCGUGACGGCG